Molecule: long non-coding RNA, 450 nt
Organism: Alexandromys fortis (reed vole)
Lineage: Eukaryota; Metazoa; Chordata; Mammalia; Rodentia; Cricetidae
Exons: 3
Source: RefSeq, a predicted model, not a curated record
CCUUUAUUGUCUGUGGCCAGGCUCUACUAGCAUGCCACCCCAUCUCCUUCCCAGCUUCCUUCAGCCCCCGCGCCUCACUUUCUCCUGCUCUACUAUUGUCUUUGACUGAAGGGAGGACCACGUGUCCGCUUCUCCAGGAGCAGCUUCUGCUCGGCCCAGGCUGCUGAGAUGGGCACCCUGAUUCUUCAAUGAUCUUUCAACUUGGUACUCUCCUAAGACAGAAAACGAUGUCUUAUUUUGCAUCAGAAGUAAAGCUGAGCCCGACGUCCGGAGGUAUAGGUGCUCCUAGGUACUUACAGAACUAAACUGAAAUCCAAACAGAAGCCAAGACUCCUUCCAUCUCAGAAUACCUCCCACGGUGUCCUGCCUAUCUUAGGCAAAGCCAGCAGACUGGUGUCUUUCUCCCCUUUGACUAGGAAGUGGGUCGAAGGCAGUGUGGGCCUUGAGUGC